RNAcentral lists this ribosomal RNA (497 nucleotides) under uncultured bacterium. Its description in RNAcentral is "partial 16S ribosomal RNA". It matches the Rfam family "Bacterial small subunit ribosomal RNA", at positions 28 to 507 of the family's 1533-position model. The record is from RNAcentral.
GAUGAACGCUGGCGGCGUGCCUAAUACAUGCAAGUCGAGCGAACGGACGAGAAGCUUGCUUCUCUGAUGUUAGCGGCGGACGGGUGAGUAACACGUGGAUAACCUACCUAUAAGACUGGGAUAACUUCGGGAAACCGGAGCUAAUACCGGAUAAUAUUUUGAACCGCAUGGUUCAAAAGUGAAAGACGGUCUUGCUGUCACUUAUAGAUGGAUCCGCGCUGCAUUAGCUAGUUGGUAAGGUAACGGCUUACCAAGGCAACGAUGCAUAGCCGACCUGAGAGGGUGAUCGGCCACACUGGAACUGAGACACGGUCCAGACUCCUACGGGAGGCAGCAGUAGGGAACCUUCCGCAAUGGGCGAAAGCCUGACGGAGCAACGCCGCGUGAGUGAUGAAGGUCUUCGGAUCGUAAAACUCUGUUAUUAGGGAAGAACAUAUGUGUAAGUAACUGUGCACAUCUUGACGGUACCUAAUCAGAAAGCCACGGCUAACUACGUG